GAGCGCGUAGCUCAGCUGGUAGAGCAACUGACUUUUAAUCAGUAGGUCCAGGGUUCGAAUCCCUGCGCGCUCACCA
This 76-nucleotide transfer RNA is filed under the name Bartonella bacilliformis. Its description in RNAcentral is "tRNA-Lys". It matches the Rfam family "tRNA". Rfam says of the family: Transfer RNA (tRNA) molecules are approximately 80 nucleotides in length. Their secondary structure includes four short double-helical elements and three loops (D, anti-codon, and T loops). The record is from RNAcentral. RNAcentral also lists the same sequence under 73 other names. Lineage: Bacteria; Pseudomonadati; Pseudomonadota; Alphaproteobacteria; Hyphomicrobiales; Bartonellaceae.